CUGGGGGGAGGGGGGCGGGGACCGACCUGGAAGGGCGGAGACGGGUCGGGAAGGUUGUCCCCGCCUGGCACGGGCUCGGCGGGGAGGACCCUCCUGCUGGCUGCGCGGCCCGGCGGGGAUGGAGGCGAGGACGUGAGCUAGGCGCCGGCGGUCUCUCUUGCGGAGGUGUCUCUCCCGGGUGCCCGCCCGGCCCCCGGGGUGACCCGCGGUGACCCGGCGGUGGCGUCCUGCCAACCUCCGCUGCACACACGGCUCUCUCCUCUCUGGCUUGUUUGCUGUUGCCCUGUUGUGUCUUUUGGUUUUUUUGUAGUUGUUGUUUGCUUUUGUUUUUGUUUUUUUUUUCUUAACUCUCCCGAGCCCUCUUACCCUUCCCGCCUUGCUCAGCCUUGUUCCUCGUCCUAACCUUUUAAGGGAUUUCUGGUUCCAGCUCCGUCGCUUUCUAAGGAUGGGUAAAGCCCCAGCUGCUUCUGGGGCUUCAAAGGAACGUUAAUACUACGCAAACCAACUCGAUUGGGGUUUCUUGAUUAUUUACCCUGAGCCAGUCAUUGUUUUAGGCAUUGGCGACCCCUUGACUGUAAUGACCUAUUUAAGCCACCUUCUGAGGUCACAUGUUUUAAAAAAGUUUGCAAUUCAUUAUCAUCUUUAAAAACAGGGUUAUUUAAUUUUAUUAUUUUUUUAAUCUUUGUCUUGACAACCACACACACGACUUGCAAGAAAUACCUGAAGCAUUUCAAGCCAUCUAGCUGAGGUCUUCACCAAUUGCUGUUUUUCUAGACGCUUCCCCUGUUUUCAGACACUGCAUGUUUUUAGAACAUGUAGAGCCAAAGUAAGAGAUUUGGGUUUAAAUUUUUACCGUCAAAUGGAGCUUUAGGGAUUUAUCUAGACCGAGUGCCGGAAACUGGUUUUAUUCGGGAGCAGGACUAGGGUGCCUUCAGCAAACAUUUUGCACCUGUGCUGCUGGGUCAGGGAUCGUUCUAGAUCCUGGGGAUGCAGCUUUCCUUAUCCACCAGUCGACUACCCUGCAGCCUGGCGUAUUGAGAAAUGAAAUGAUUGAGUAAAAUGCAUGUAGGAAGUCACUUGCCUGUAAGACUGAAUUUUCUGAACUGCAAUUAUUACUAGGAUCGUAGCAGAACCCAAAUGAGGGUAAAACUAUUACCCCUGGAAGUACUGUAGAAAUAGAAAGUGAGUGUAAUGUGUAUAUAAUGCACCAAAGGCAAUAUCAGGCCUUUGAAUAAUGAUAGUGUUAGGUGCUGAAGAACUGUUAGUGCUGAAAUACAAAAUUUCUAUUCAUUGAAGAACUCCAGAGUACAGCUCUUCCUCUGUCUACCUAGAAAAGCUGAAAAUAAAAUAGUUAAGAACUCUUGGGAUCUACAUGCCCCUUUGCUUAAUUGAUAGCUCACUGCUUUGCCAUAAUUAACUUACCCUGUUUCCCAAAAAAUGUUAUGGUCUAUUUGGUGGCCCUUAAAAGUGUUCUGGAAUACGGUUGGUAUCUCAAGUUUUCAUUUGGACAAGAGUUUGAUGGAAAGUUUGCUAUUUCUGAUUCAAGUACUUCAAAAUGUAGAAUUAAUAAGUAAAGCAAGUGAAAGUUUAUUAAUAAAACAUAAAUAGCUAAGUAUCAGUUACCAAAGGCUACCAGUCAACAAAACAAACACAGCAAAAACCCACCUGGGCUGUUAAUGUUUCCUUCUCUGGCUCUGAGGAUCAGUAACUCCAUAUUCAUCUCAUUUGGAGGUACUCUUAAACUGGCACCUGCUUUGCUUUCGGAAGGAAGAUUUUUUUAAAUGUUAUUAUUGAAUGAAUACUGAAGACCUAUGGUUAAUUCCAGAAGAGACAAAACUUCUUAAUUAAAAAACAACACAAAGCUAAUCACUUCAUAAAACUUUAGUAACUGAGUGAACCUCAAACUUUAAGCAGAAGAAAUGAAAAUACAAAAUAAAAAUUGAACUAUAUUAAUUUGCUAAAUGGUUUUUGCUGCAGCAAGUCGUUUAUCAUAUUGGGGGUCUUAAUUACAUGCAGGAAGUUGUCAAAAAGGAAUUUUUUUUAAGAUUUUAUUUUUAAGUAAUCUCUGUAUCCACAUAGGGCUGGAAUUCACAACCCCAAGACCAAGAGUCACAUGUUCAACCACCUGAGCCAGGAAAAGCUUCCAAAUUCUUCCAGAGACCAGAGUGCAAAAAACGUGCAGAGCAGAAUACUAGUGAGAAUGAACAUGUGCAGUGACAACAGACACAGCAUCGCUGGUAACGACUGCUCAGUUGCAGCAGGAUCACUCACUCUGUGGGACUUUAUGGAGAGGCCCAACAUGAUGAGGAAUGGAAGUCUCCAGCCAAAUGAAUGAACUUAGAAGCAGAUCUUCCAGCCCCAAUCAAACCUUCAGAUAAAUAACUGCAGCUUUCUUGCCAAGCGGUUUCAUAUCCACUUGGUAAUCUCCACAAUACCCUGUAAGGUACACAUGAGUAAAUCUGCGAGACAGUCUUUGCUGGGCUGAAGAUAUGCAUACGUGCAGCUUUGAUAGACUCUGUUAUAUUAUACUUCAAAGCAGUCUUGCCAAUACUCACCCAGCAUGCAUGGGAGCGUGUGUUCCCAAGUCACUUGCCAGUAGAGUCUGCAAUAAAUCAUUUGGGUCUUUGCCCAUCUGAGAGAUAGAAUGAACUUGUUUCCCAGAUGACUACCCAGUUUUCCAACAUCAGUUAUUAAUCCAACUUUCACUACAUACAAAUUCUGGAUCGCCUCACAUGAUCACUUCACUGAGUUAAAAGAUUUUUCUCAUCAUUCAUUGGAUGCCAAGAACUGUGAGGAGUCUGAGAUUUUAGCUCCCUUGCAAGCAAACGGGUUAGCCUGCCACCAAAUCAUGGAUGUUGGCAAAAGACGUGGCAUUCCUGGGCCAGUACUCACAGCACAGCAAGCAGCAUGAGCCUCGUGUUUGCAAGGAAACCACAAAUGUUGGAGAGGAUGCGGAGAAAAGGGAACCCUCUUACACUGUAGGUG
Canis lupus familiaris (dog) is the source of this 2985-nucleotide long non-coding RNA. RefSeq lists it as uncharacterized. The transcript has 8 exons. The record is from RefSeq and is a predicted model, not a curated record. NCBI's taxonomy places the organism in Eukaryota, Metazoa, Chordata, Mammalia, Carnivora, Canidae.